AUAUUGGACAAUGGGCGAAAGCCUGAUCCAGCCAUGCCGCGUGUGUGAAGAAGGUCUUCGGAUUGUAAAGCACUUUAAGUUGGGAGGAAGGGUUGUCGAUUAAUACUCUGCAAUUUUUACGUUACCAACAGAAUAAGCACCGGCUAACUUCGUGCCAGUCGCCGCGGUAAUAUGAAGGGUGCAAGCGUUAAUCGGAAUUACUGGGCGUAAAGCGCGCGUAGGUGGUUCGUUAAGUUGGAUGUGAAAUCCCCGGGCUCAACCUGGGAACUGCAUCCAAAACUGGCGAGCUAGAGUAGGGCAGAGGGUGGUGGAAUUUCCUGUGUAGCGGUGAAAUGCGUAGAUAUAGGAAGGGACACCAGUGGCGAAGGCGACCACCUGGGCUAAUACUGACACUGAGGUGCGAAAGCGUGGGGAGCAAAC
This 420-nucleotide ribosomal RNA is filed under the name uncultured bacterium. RNAcentral describes it as "partial 16S ribosomal RNA". It matches the Rfam family "Bacterial small subunit ribosomal RNA", at positions 361 to 773 of the family's 1533-position model. The record is from RNAcentral.